RNAcentral lists this unclassified non-coding RNA (240 nucleotides) under soil metagenome. RNAcentral's name for it is "partial contains 5.8S ribosomal RNA, internal transcribed spacer 2, and large subunit ribosomal RNA". The record is from RNAcentral.
AAGACUAUAGACCUGCGGAGUACCUACGGAAGGAUCAUUAUCGUAUUGUAACAAUUGGGGGGGCCACCGUGGGCUGUCGCUGACCCUUUGAAAGGGGGGUCGUGCACGCCCCCAUAGUGUCAUCCUCAUACAAUCCAACUCACCUCUGUGCAUCACCGCGUGGGUUCCUUUCUGGGUCGAGUCAGACUGGCUCAGAAAAAAGGGGCUUGCGUUUUCCAUACAAAUACCCUUAUAAAUCCA